AAUUAAUGAGCUUGUAAAAGCAUAUAUUUUGAAAAUAUAAUAAAGAAAUAAAUAUUCUAUUAAUUU
This 66-nucleotide transfer RNA is filed under the name Coelioxys fenestratus. Its description in RNAcentral is "Coelioxys fenestrata tRNA-Ser". The record is from RNAcentral. Lineage: Eukaryota; Metazoa; Arthropoda; Insecta; Hymenoptera; Megachilidae.